UGUGUGUGUGUGUGUGUGUGUGUGUGUGUGUGUCCAACCCCAUCUCAUCUCCUCUUCAUAUCCAUCCAUCCCGCUUGAUACUUCUUUCUCUCCCUCUCUCCCUCUCUCCCUCUCUCUCUCUUUCUUUCACUCUCCUUCAUCCUUCACCCCCCUUUUUCUUUCAUAACCAUCCAUUUUUGGAUUGUUUUUUUGCAUGCCUUUAAGGUAGUUGGCCUACUAGUUUCGGAACAAAACUCCAUAUUGCUGCCAUCUCUUUAUAUCACUUCCCUUCAUGUCCCUGCUUCUUCUCUAACUGUUCUGUCUCUGUUUGUAAACGUCCUUCGUGUAACUGAGGUAUAAGACUCUAUUCACUGCUUCUCCUCUAACUGUUCUGUCUCUGUUUGUAAAUGUCCUUCGUGUAACUGAGGUAUAAGACUCUAUUCACUGCUUCUCCUCUAACUGUUCUGUCUCUGUUUGUAAAUGUCCUUCGUGUAACUGAGGUAUAAGACUCUAUUCACUGCUUCUCC
Long non-coding RNA from Clupea harengus (Atlantic herring), 506 nucleotides. The record is from Ensembl. Lineage: Eukaryota; Metazoa; Chordata; Actinopteri; Clupeiformes; Clupeidae.